AAUAAGAUGCCUGAAAAAAGGAUCAUUUUGAUAGAGUGAAAAAUGCAAACUAUGCUCUUAUUA
RNAcentral lists this transfer RNA (63 nucleotides) under Pselaphinae sp. 5 EF-2015. RNAcentral describes it as "tRNA-Ile". The record is from RNAcentral. Lineage: Eukaryota; Metazoa; Arthropoda; Insecta; Coleoptera; Staphylinidae.